Molecule: ribosomal RNA, 301 nt
Filed under: uncultured bacterium
Lineage: Bacteria
Description: partial 16S ribosomal RNA
Rfam family: Bacterial small subunit ribosomal RNA
Source: RNAcentral
CAGUAGCCGCGGGAAUACGAAGGGGGCUAGCGUUGCUCGGAAUUACUGGGCGUAAAGGGAGCGUAGGCGGAUCGUUUAGUCAGGGGUGAAAUCCCGGGGCUCAACCUCGGAACUGCCUUUGAUACUGGCGAUCUUGAGUAUGGGAGAGGUGUGUGGAACUCCGAGUGUAGAGGUGAAAUUCGUAGAUAUUCGGAAGAACACCAGUGGCGAAGGUGACACACUGGCCCAUUACUGACGCUGAGGCUCGAAAGCGUGGGGAGCAAACAGGAUUAGAGACCCCAGUAGUCCCUGUCUCUUAUAC